AUAAUGAUACUUCCGGCGACGGCUGUCCAUAGGAAUGGCAGAGGUGAAAGCCCUAUGC
The submitters of this non-coding RNA (58 nucleotides) gave its source as unclassified sequences. The record is from Rfam.